Molecule: long non-coding RNA, 1912 nt
Filed under: Ricinus communis (castor bean)
Lineage: Eukaryota; Viridiplantae; Streptophyta; Magnoliopsida; Malpighiales; Euphorbiaceae
Description: long non-coding RNA (RCOM_LNC000517)
Source: RNAcentral
UAUAUUUUGUAAUACCAGAAAAAUAUUAAAAUAAAAUAAAUAAUAAUAAUAAUAAUAAUUUUUUUCCCCUUUUUCUUUCCUUUCCUCCCCCCUUUUCUUCCUCUCCUUCUCUUUUCCCUCACCCUUUUCUCCCCGACGCCGACUGCCCUCUUUCCCCCACUCCCACCUGCGGGUCGAACAGGUUGCCGCCAUCGCCAACAGCGCCUCCUCCCCUCCCUCGCCACCGCACCGCCUUCUUUUCCCCUUUCCUCCCGCUGCCGACGCUGCACGGAGGAGAAGGCAUCCCUCCCCGCUGAAACGAGCCGCUGCUGUCCACCAUUCGCCGUCCGAUGCUGGAUUUGGGUCCCUCACCACCGAAAACCCCUGAAACAAGCCUCCCUCGCCGUUUUCCACCGCCUGCAGUCUCGGAGGAGCUUCGCCGGAGUCGAAACUUUCUAGCUCCGAUCCGGUGCCUUCCAGCUGAAACUCUUGCGUUUUCGGUCUCCCCGCAACUCGAGCUUCGCACAGGCGUUUCUGGAUUCGAAUUCCGAUACUGGUGACACGACCGGCUUCCGGAAUUAAAUGUUUUCCGGACGCGUAAAAUUUUAAAAUUUGGGCUCGGUAUAAUUUUAUUUGGACCUCAAAAAUUAUGUUAUAAUUUUAAAAAAAUAUUGUUGCUAUUAAUUAUCAAUUAUAGAUAAUUUAAAUUUAAUUAAAUUUAGUUAAUUGUGAUCUGUGGUGUGUUAUAAAGUUGGAAAAAAUAAUAUAGUUUUGGUGGUCUGAUUCCUGUUAGUUGGUUUCAGAAUAUUUGAAGUGUUUCAGAAUAUUUGAAGUGUUUCUAAAAGGUUCUGGACUUGUUGUACGAGGGGUAAAUGUCCAUAAUUUAGAGAAAGUUCUACCAAAUUUUCGACAGAACUCUUGAGUCUGAAAUAUUUUUUUGGUUGUCUAAUUUAGGGUUCUAGGCCUAGGGGAAUUUAAGAAUGUCUAUUAACUGACUGUUUUCGUGAAUAUAUAAUCCGUCCAUUCCGCCAGCUCCACCUGAAGCGUAUUAGCGAACUGCGGAGCGCGACAAAACUAUGAGUUAAAGUCAUAUAAUCACUGUACCAUUGGCAAUGUCCAAACUUAACGCAAUGUUCAAUGAUUAAUAUUUAAUAUGGUUAUCAUUAUUGUUAUUAUAGGUAAUUUCAUUUAAUUGAUAAUUAUCAUAAAUAGUAUUGCUAUUAUUAUUAGUAAAUUUAUUUCAUUAUUUUAAAUAUUUUAAUUAAUAUUAUUUUAAUACUAGUAUUACUUAUAAUUGCAUGUUUGCUAAUCUCGAGAUUUUUAAAUUUUUAAUUUUCAAUAUGUUAUUGAAUAAUUUAUGUUGGCCUGUGAUGAUUUUUAUAAAUAUUGUGAUUGUGACAUUAAGAUGAGGCGACAGUAGAACAUGCCAUCUUAUGGGUUACAUCAAGACCGUAUUUAUGCGCACUGAUAAUAAUCAGAGGUACGAAAGUUAUUUUUGGAUUUUGCCUUGGUCGAGUAUAACUUUCUGGGCUAUGAAAGCUUGACUGCCGGAGGAAGGUCCCUAGUCGAGCAAUACUCUCUGUGACGCUGGCUCAAUUAGGAAUCAAGUGUCCAGGCUGGAUGUAAGGAUCCUGGUUGAGCUUCGCUCUCUAGGCGCCAGACCUAUUGGAAUAAGAGAGCCGAAAGGCUACUAGCAUUUAGGGUUAGGGUUCUGCUGAGCCACUCGUCCCAUAAGUCUUUAAAUGUACUUUCUUUCUAAAUUAUAGUAUAUGACUCAUACUUUAAUACAAAACGACAUAUGAUAUACUGAUUUAGUGAUAUUAUAUUGAGGAGACAGCAAUAGUUACAGGGUUAUAUGAUUUUAACUCACUCUCGAGGCUGACAAUCUCAAUUUUAAUUUUUUUUUUCAGGUGACAAUUAGAGUUCUUCGCCG